GCUCGUGUAGCUCAGUCUGGUUAGAGCGCCGUACUUAUAAUGCGGAUGUCGCGGGUUCAAAUCCCGUCACGAGUA
This 75-nucleotide transfer RNA is filed under the name Megaviridae environmental sample. Its description in RNAcentral is "tRNA-Ile". It matches the Rfam family "tRNA". Rfam says of the family: Transfer RNA (tRNA) molecules are approximately 80 nucleotides in length. Their secondary structure includes four short double-helical elements and three loops (D, anti-codon, and T loops). Further hydrogen bonds mediate the characteristic L-shaped molecular structure. tRNAs have two regions of fundamental functional importance: the anti-codon, which is responsible for specific mRNA codon recognition, and the 3' end, to which the tRNAs corresponding amino acid is attached (by aminoacyl-tRNA synthetases). tRNAs cope with the degeneracy of the genetic code in two manners: having more than one tRNA (with a specific anti-codon) for a particular amino acid; and 'wobble' base-pairing, i.e. permitting non-standard base-pairing at the 3rd anti-codon position. Lineage: Varidnaviria; Bamfordvirae; Nucleocytoviricota; Megaviricetes; Imitervirales; Mimiviridae. The record is from RNAcentral.